This 492-nucleotide ribosomal RNA is filed under the name uncultured bacterium. RNAcentral describes it as "partial 16S ribosomal RNA". It matches the Rfam family "Bacterial small subunit ribosomal RNA", at positions 29 to 507 of the family's 1533-position model. The record is from RNAcentral.
AGUGAACGCUGGCGGUAUGCCUAACACAUGCAAGUCGAACGGCCGCACAGUAAGAGUUCGCCCCUACCGGUGGCGAGUGGCGGGCGGGUGAGGAAUACAUAGGCAUCUUCUUUUUCUGGGGGGAUUACGGAGGGCCACAUACGCUACUACCGAAUAUGAUGUACCGGAGAAUGCAGUGGUUCUUCGGAGUUUUCGCGUUACUAUUAGAUGGCGCCGCAUUAGCUAGUCGGCGGGGUAAAGGCACACCAAGGCAACGAUCCGUAGCCGAGCUGAGAGGAUGAUCGGCCACACUGGAACUGAGACACGGUCCAGACUCCUACGGGAGGCAGCAGUAGGGAAUAUUCCGCAAUGGGCGCAAGCCUGAUCCAGCCAUGCCGCGUGAGUGAUGAAGGUCUUCGGAUUGUAAAACUCUGUUAUUAGGAAAGAAAAACAGCAGAUGAAUACCCCGCCGUUCUGACGGUACCCAAAGAGUAAGCACCGGCUAACUUCGUG